UGGGGAAUCUUGCGCAAUGGACGAAAGUCUGACGCAGCCACGCCGCGUGAGUGAAGAAGGCCUUCGGGUUGUAAAGCUCUGUCACCUGGGACGAAAACACUUAGGGUUAACAGCCUUAGGAAUUGACGGUACCAGGGGAGGAAGCACCGGCUAACUUCGUGCCAGCAGCCGCGGUAAUACGAAGGGUGCAAGCGUUGCUCGGAAUUAUUGGGCGUAAAGGGUUGGUAGGUGGUCUUGUUUGUCUAAGGUGAAAUCCCAUGGCUUAACUGUGGAAGUGCCUUAGAAACGGCAAGACUAGAGUCCUAGAGGGGUUUGUGGAAUUCCCGGUGUAGCGGUGAAAUGCGUAGAGAUCGGGAGGAACACCAGCGGCGAAGGCGGCAAACUGGAUAGGCACUGACACUCAACAACGAAAGCGUGGGGAGCAAACAGG
Molecule: ribosomal RNA, 430 nt
Filed under: uncultured bacterium
Lineage: Bacteria
Description: bacterial SSU rRNA
Rfam family: Bacterial small subunit ribosomal RNA
Source: RNAcentral